Molecule: ribosomal RNA, 506 nt
Filed under: uncultured bacterium
Lineage: Bacteria
Description: partial 16S ribosomal RNA
Rfam family: Bacterial small subunit ribosomal RNA
Source: RNAcentral
AGUGAACGCUGGCGGUAGGCCUAACACAUGCAAGUCGAACGGCAGCACAGGAGAGCUUGCUCUCUGGGUGGCGAGUGGCGGACGGGUGAGGAAUACAUCGGAAUCUACUUUUUCGUGGGGGAUAACGUAGGGAAACUUACGCUAAUACCGCAUACGACGUACGGGUGAAAGCAGGGGACCUUCGGGCCUGGCGCGAUUGAAUGAGCCGAUGUCGGAUUAGCUAGUUGGCGGGGUAAAGGCCCACAAAGGCGACGAUCCGUAGCUGGUCUGAGAGGAUGAUCAGCCACACUGGAACUGAGACACGGUCCAGACUCCUACGGGAGGCAGCAGUGGGGAAUAUUGGACAAUGGGCGCAAGCCUGAUCCAGCCAUACCGCGUGGGUGAAUAAGGCCUUCGGGUUGUAAAGCCCUUUUGUUGGGAAAGAAAUCCAGCUGGCUAAUACCCGGUUGGGAUGACGGUACCCAAAGAAUAAGCACCGGCUAACUUCGUGCCAGCCGCCGCGGUAA